This 497-nucleotide ribosomal RNA is filed under the name uncultured bacterium. RNAcentral describes it as "partial 16S ribosomal RNA". It matches the Rfam family "Bacterial small subunit ribosomal RNA", at positions 28 to 507 of the family's 1533-position model. The record is from RNAcentral.
GACGAACGCUGGCGGCGUGCCUAAUACAUGCAAGUUGAGCGCUGAAGGUUGGUACUUGUCCCGACUGGAUGAGCAGCGAACGGGUGAGUAACGCGUGGGGAAUCUGCCUUUGAGCGGGGGACAACAUUUGGAAACGAAUGCUAAUACCGCAUAAAAACUUUAAACACAAGUUUUAAGUUUGAAAGAUGCAAUUGCAUCACUCAAAGAUGAUCCCGCGUUGUAUUAGCUAGUUGGUGAGGUAAAGGCUCACCAAGGCGAUGAUACAUAGCCGACCUGAGAGGGUGAUCGGCCACAUUGGGACUGAGACACGGCCCAAACUCCUACGGGAGGCAGCAGUAGGGAAUCUUCGGCAAUGGACGAAAGUCUGACCGAGCAACGCCGCGUGAGUGAAGAAGGGUUUCGGAUCGUAAAACUCUGUUGGUAGAGAAGAAUGUUGGUGAGAGUGGAAAGCUCAUCAAGUGACGGUAACUACCCAGAAAGGGACGGCUAACUACGUG